UACGGGGGGGGCAAGCGUUGUUCGGAAUUACUGGGCGUAAAGGGCUCGUAGGUGGCCAACUAAGUCAGACGUGAAAUCCCUCGGCUUAACCGGGGAACUGCGUCUGAUACUGGAUGGCUUGAGUUUGGGAGAGGGAUGCGGAAUUCCAGGUGUAGCGGUGAAAUGCGUAGAUAUCUGAAGGAACAUCAGUGGCGAAAGCGACUUCCUGGACCAAUACUGACGCUCAUGUGCGAAAGCGUGGGGAGCAAACAGG
RNAcentral lists this ribosomal RNA (253 nucleotides) under uncultured bacterium. RNAcentral's name for it is "partial 16S ribosomal RNA". It matches the Rfam family "Bacterial small subunit ribosomal RNA", at positions 524 to 776 of the family's 1533-position model. The record is from RNAcentral.